Molecule: ribosomal RNA, 39 nt
Filed under: Amanita rubrovolvata
Lineage: Eukaryota; Fungi; Basidiomycota; Agaricomycetes; Agaricales; Amanitaceae
Description: partial 28S ribosomal RNA
Source: RNAcentral
CUUGACCUCAAAUCAGGUAGGAUUACCCGCUGAACUUAA